This 183-nucleotide ribosomal RNA is filed under the name Listeria monocytogenes. RNAcentral's name for it is "partial 16S ribosomal RNA". It matches the Rfam family "Bacterial small subunit ribosomal RNA", at positions 1 to 178 of the family's 1533-position model. The record is from RNAcentral. Lineage: Bacteria; Bacillati; Bacillota; Bacilli; Caryophanales; Listeriaceae.
UUUAAAGAGAGUUUGAUCCUGGCUCAGGAUGAACGCUGGCGGCGUGCCUAAUACAUGCAAGUCGAACGAACGGAGGAAGAGCUUGCUCUUCCAAAGUUAGUGGCGGACGGGUGAGUAACACGUGGGCAACCUGCCUGUAAGUUGGGGAUAACUCCGGGAAACCGGGGCUAAUACCGAAUGAUA